RNAcentral lists this ribosomal RNA (424 nucleotides) under uncultured bacterium. RNAcentral's name for it is "bacterial SSU rRNA". It matches the Rfam family "Bacterial small subunit ribosomal RNA", at positions 355 to 796 of the family's 1533-position model. The record is from RNAcentral.
UGGGGAAUAUUGGACAAUGGGGGCAACCCUGAUCCAGCCAUGCCGCGUGAGUGAUGAAGGCCUUAGGGUUGUAAAGCUCUUUCGCUGGGGACGAUAAUGACGGUACCCAGAUAAGAAGCCCCGGCUAACUUCGUGCCAGCAGCCGCGGUAAUACGAAGGGGGCUAGCGUUGUUCGGAUUUACUGGGCGUAAAGCGCACGUAGGCGGAUUUUUAAGUCAGGGGUGAAAUCCCGAGGCUCAACCUCGGAAUUGCCUUUGAUACUGGAAGUCUUGAGUUCGGAAGAGGUGAGUGGAAUUGUGAGUGUAGAGGUGAAAUUCGUAGAUAUUCACAAGAACACCGGUGGCGAAGGCGGCUCACUGGUCCGAAACUGACGCUGAGGUGCGAAAGCGUGGGGAGCAAACAGGAUUAGAUACCCCCGUAGUCC